AUGGAAGAGAAUGAAUUGUAUGAUGCCAGUAAACAAGUCUAUGCGGAAUCCAUGAAAGGGGUAGCUGCAUGUUUGAAUGCUUUUCAUACCAUCUCCCAUCCAAGUGUACAAAAAAUAAUAUCUUGGUUCUAUUUGUCAUAUUUAGUAGCAGUUCUCAGAGGUGUCCAAUUUGAGGUCCAGUUGGUGGAGUCUGUUGGGGAUGUGAGAAGACCUGGAGAGUCCCUCUGUCUGUCCUGCCAAGCAUCAGGAUUCAACUUUGGUGGGAGUAAUGUGAACUGGCUGAGGCAGACCCCAGGGAAAGACCCAGAAUGGGUGGCUUGGAUACAAAGUGAUGGAGGAGAAACCUACUACUUGAACAAAGUGAAGGGACGCUUCACCAUCUCCAGAGACAAUGCCAAAAGCCAGAUGUAUCUGCAAAUGAACAGCCUGAAACCAGAGGACACAGCAAUCUAUUACUGUGCAAGAUACACAUUGGGAGGAAGUGAAUCUGAAACCAUCUCAUAUACCAGCAGGAAAGCUUUUCCCUUGCUGCUCUAG
Molecule: non-coding RNA, 537 nt
Organism: Protobothrops mucrosquamatus (brown spotted pit viper)
Lineage: Eukaryota; Metazoa; Chordata; Lepidosauria; Squamata; Viperidae
Source: the annotation of a RefSeq genome assembly